RNAcentral lists this ribosomal RNA (474 nucleotides) under Escherichia coli. RNAcentral describes it as "bacterial SSU rRNA". It matches the Rfam family "Bacterial small subunit ribosomal RNA", at positions 1 to 471 of the family's 1533-position model. The record is from RNAcentral. Lineage: Bacteria; Pseudomonadati; Pseudomonadota; Gammaproteobacteria; Enterobacterales; Enterobacteriaceae.
AAAUUGAAGAGUUUGAUCAUGGCUCAGAUUGAACGCUGGCGGCAGGCCUAACACAUGCAAGUCGAACGGUAACAGGAAGAAGCUUGCUUCUUUGCUGACGAGUGGCGGACGGGUGAGUAAUGUCUGGGAAACUGCCUGAUGGAGGGGGAUAACUACUGGAAACGGUAGCUAAUACCGCAUAACGUCGCAAGACCAAAGAGGGGGACCUUCGGGCCUCUUGCCAUCGGAUGUGCCCAGAUGGGAUUAGCUAGUAGGUGGGGUAACGGCUCACCUAGGCGACGAUCCCUAGCUGGUCUGAGAGGAUGACCAGCCACACUGGAACUGAGACACGGUCCAGACUCCUACGGGAGGCAGCAGUGGGGAAUAUUGCACAAUGGGCGCAAGCCUGAUGCAGCCAUGCCGCGUGUAUGAAGAAGGCCUUCGGGUUGUAAAGUACUUUCAGCGGGGAGGAAGGGAGUAAAGUUAAUACCUUUG